RNAcentral lists this ribosomal RNA (777 nucleotides) under uncultured Neocallimastigales. Its description in RNAcentral is "partial large subunit ribosomal RNA". It matches the Rfam family "Eukaryotic large subunit ribosomal RNA", at positions 26 to 618 of the family's 3401-position model. Lineage: Eukaryota; Fungi; Neocallimastigomycota; Neocallimastigomycetes; Neocallimastigales. The record is from RNAcentral.
CGUCUAUAUACGUAUAGCAUAUCAAUAAGCGGAGGAAAAGAAACUAACAAGGAUUCCCUUAGUAACGGCGAGUGAAGCGGGAAGAGCUCAAAUUUGAAAUCUUCAAGGUUCUACCUUGACGAAUUGUAGUUUAAAGAAGUGUUUUCUGUUAGAGGAGUAGGCAAAAGUUCCUUGGAAUAGGGACAUCAUAGAGGGUGAGAAUCCCGUAUUUGGUUAUUCUUUCUAGCUGUGUGAUACACUUUCAAAGAGUCGGAUUGUUUGGGAAUGCAGUCCAAAAUGGGUGGUAAAUUUCAUCUAAAGCUAAAUAUUGGCGAGAGACCGAUAGCGAACAAGUACCGUGAGGGAAAGAUGAAAAGAACUUUGAAAAGAGAGUUAAACAGUACGUGAAAUUGUCAAAAGGGAAGCGUUUGACACCAGUGUUGUUUUUCCGAAAAUCAAUUAAGAGUGGCUUGAUUUUGUGUUGUAUUGACCUUAUCAGCUUUCUUCACUCUUUUUCGAGUCUUUCUUAAUGCACUUUUCGGUUAACAAGUCAACAUCAAUUUCUUUUGUUGUAAAAGGGUAAUUGGAAGGUGGCUUCUUUUCGGAGAAAGUGUUUAUAGCCUUUAUACCUCUACAAUCGGAGAGAUUGAGGUCUGCAGCGUAGAUCCUUCGGGGUUAGAUACACUUGUGCUAAGUUAUAGCCUGUUAUAGACAACUUGUUGACUAUACUCGGUCAUGUAGCUUACUCGCUUGUGCUAUUUUACCUACGCUUAGGAUGUUGAGUCAUCACACAUCUCU